GACUUAAGCAUAUCAGUAGGCGGAGGGAAGAGAAACGAACGAGGACUCCCCCAGUAACGGCGAGUGAAGAGGGACGCAGCCCAGGCUGAGAACCGGCCGCCUGGCGGCCGGGGUGUGGCCUGCAGGGGCGCCGCGCCCGCCGGCCCGGCCCGCGCGAAGUCCCUUGGAAGAGGGCGCCAGGGAGGGUGAGAGCCCCGUGGAGCGCGCGGAGUCCGCGGCGCAGCGCCGGCGUGCGAGCGAGCGAGCGGGCGCCCCGACGAGUCGAGCUGCUUGGGACUGCAGCUCGAAGCGGGUGGUAAGCCCCACCCAAGGCUGAGCACCCGUGGGAGACCGAUAGCGGACAAGUACCGCGAGGGAAAGGUGCAAAAGGACUCUGGAGAGAGAGUGCAAGAGUGCCUGAACGUGCUGAGAGGGAAGCGAGGGGCGGGGGUGGCGCACGCGAGUGCGGGUCGCCCGCGGCGCGCGGCGCGGACCGCUGGCGUGGACCCG
This 489-nucleotide ribosomal RNA is filed under the name uncultured eukaryote. RNAcentral describes it as "eukaryotic LSU rRNA". It matches the Rfam family "Eukaryotic large subunit ribosomal RNA", at positions 31 to 499 of the family's 3401-position model. The record is from RNAcentral.